UUGUCCUACGGGAGGCAGCAGUAGGGAAUAUUGCUCAAUGGGGGAAACCCUGAAGCAGCAACGCCGCGUGGAGGAUGAAGGUUUUAGGAUUGUAAACUCCUUUUGUAAGAGAAGAUUAUGACGGUAUCUUACGAAUAAGCACCGGCUAACUCCGUGCCAGCAGCCGCGGUAAUACGGAGGGUGCAAGCGUUACUCGGAAUCACUGGGCGUAAAGGGCGCGUAGGCGGUCUAAUAAGUCAGUGGUGAAAACUGAGGGCUCAACCCUCAGCCUGCCACUGAUACUGUU
This 286-nucleotide ribosomal RNA is filed under the name uncultured bacterium. RNAcentral describes it as "partial 16S ribosomal RNA". It matches the Rfam family "Bacterial small subunit ribosomal RNA", at positions 334 to 637 of the family's 1533-position model. The record is from RNAcentral.